CCUCAAUUCGAUCCCUGACUUUGCCCCUCAUUCCGAGUCGAGAUUUGAGAAUUGAGAGCAUAGUACCGUACUUUCCCCUCAAUUCGAUCCCUGACUUUGCACGAUAUGCCUGUAAUAAUUUCCUCCCUCUUGCCUUUUCUGUAAUUGAUUUCCCCCCGAUCUGCAUCAGUAUUUCUUAGGUUUUCAUGAUCACCUCAUUUUCUUCGAAAAUUUGCUCAUUUUGGUAUUGAGUUUCUUCUUGUGGUCGUGUUCUCCCGCGAUGCAGGGUAAGAUUUUCCUAGAGGUGGAACCUCCAAGCCCACUCAGAUACUUAAUGGGAGCCGCCGUUAUGAUGAUCGGAGUCGUAUUACCCGUCGGUUACAUGAUGUUCCGGAACAAGCGCGUUCCCUCAUCUUCUUCCUAUUCCAAACAGACGUAGGGACAAGGUUCUGAUAUAGAGACGUAACCGAAUGCGAGAGCUGCGAUUUACUGGAUCUGGAUUUGUCAGGUUAUGUUUGAAGUUGAUUUAUAGGAGACUUAACCAGAUUCAAAAUUAGGUCAAUUGUAAAUGCAAUGAGAUCCUGUUUCUUGUUAGUGGGUUCGUCUCCAAAUUCUGAACUCCGAUACCAAGAAAUUAUAUGAUUGGGACUUGCAUUCCAUUUUUUCUCUCGGAUCUGAAAUCUCUUGUAGCUCCCUAAUUUCUAUUAUGGGUUGGGGAAUAUUACACCGUAAAAUGUCGUUGUUCUUUUAUAUUUUAUCCUGAAAGGAAGCAGAAAGAUCUUAAUCUUGCUAGUUACUUAGCAUUCAGUUUCACUAUCA
Long non-coding RNA from Neltuma alba, 798 nucleotides. RefSeq lists it as uncharacterized. The record is from RefSeq and is a predicted model, not a curated record. The transcript has 2 exons. Lineage: Eukaryota; Viridiplantae; Streptophyta; Magnoliopsida; Fabales; Fabaceae.